RNAcentral lists this ribosomal RNA (253 nucleotides) under uncultured bacterium. RNAcentral describes it as "partial 16S ribosomal RNA". It matches the Rfam family "Bacterial small subunit ribosomal RNA", at positions 524 to 776 of the family's 1533-position model. The record is from RNAcentral.
GACGUAGGGCGCGAGCGUUGUCCGGAUUUAUUGGGCGUAAAGAGCGUGUAGGCGGCCGCACAGGUCCGUUGUGAAAACUGGAGGCUUAACCUUCAGACGUCGAUGGAAACCGUGCGGCUAGAGUCCGGAAGAGGAGAGUGGAAUUCCUGGUGUAGCGGUGAAAUGCGUAGAUAUCUGGAGGAACACCGGUGGCGAAGGCGGCAUCCUGGACCGGCAUUGACGCUGAGGCGCGAAAGCUAGGGGAGCAAACGGG